Molecule: ribosomal RNA, 333 nt
Filed under: uncultured Pseudomonadota bacterium
Lineage: Bacteria; Pseudomonadati; Pseudomonadota
Description: bacterial SSU rRNA
Rfam family: Bacterial small subunit ribosomal RNA
Source: RNAcentral
AUUGAACGCUGGCGGCAUGCUUUACACAUGCAAGUCGAGCGGCAGCGCGGGGGCAACCCUGGCGGCGAGCGGCGAACGGGUGAGUAAUACAUCGGAACGUACCCCGUAGUGGGGGAUAACUCAGCGAAAGCUGGGCUAAUACCGCAUAUGCUCUACGGAGGAAAGUGGGGGACCGCUCGGGCAACUGAGGGGCCUCACGCUAUGGGAGCGGCCGAUGUCCGAUUAGCUUGUUGGUGAGGUAAAGGCUCACCAAGGCGAUGAUCGGUAGCUGGUCUGAGAGGAUGAUCAGCCACACUGGGACUGAGACACGGCCCAGACUCCUACGGGAGGCUG